UUAAAGAAAAAAUUACAUUGUAAAGAGACGAUUAAAAUCCCUUUCAGACAGCCAAACUAAAACUUGUCAUAGUUAACAGAAUGAGCACAUAUUAUGUUACCUAAGAAAAUGGGGACCUCGCUUUGUACUAUCGUUAUUGUGCCUCUACAGCCUACUAGGCACUGGGGACAGUCACAAGCAAGACCAAGUCCCUAGGGACCAAAAAUACGUCAUUUCAGGUCGUAAUCAUUGCCAUAAAUGAAAAAAGAGAAGUCAGGAAAGCCUGUCUGAAAAAAACCUAGUAAAGAAACAGGUUAGAUUGGGCAGUGAAAACAAAGGCUUUUGGAGAGAACAACUU
This 337-nucleotide long non-coding RNA is filed under the name Bos taurus (domestic cattle). RNAcentral's name for it is "long non-coding RNA NONBTAT011968". Lineage: Eukaryota; Metazoa; Chordata; Mammalia; Artiodactyla; Bovidae. The record is from RNAcentral.